RNAcentral lists this ribosomal RNA (480 nucleotides) under uncultured bacterium. RNAcentral describes it as "partial 16S ribosomal RNA". It matches the Rfam family "Bacterial small subunit ribosomal RNA", at positions 28 to 507 of the family's 1533-position model. The record is from RNAcentral.
GACGAACGCUGGCGGCGCGCCUAACACAUGCAAGUCGAGCGAUGAAAUGUUAACCGAUCUCUUCGGAGAGAAGAUAAACGGGAGUAGCGGCGGACGGGUGAGUAACACGUGAGAAACCUGCCUUUCACAAGGGGACAGCCUCGGGAAACCGGGAAUAAUACCCUAUGACACAUUUCCUUCGCAUGGAAGAAAUGUUACAACUCCGGUGGGGAAAGAUGGUCUCGCGCCUGACUCGCUGGUUGGUGGGGUAACGGCCCACCAAGGGCAUGAUCAGUAACCGGCAUGUGAGGCUGGGCGGUCACACUUGAGCUGAGACGCAGUCCGGACUACUACGGGAUGCAGCAGUGGGGGAUACUGCCCAGUGGCGGGUACUCUGAAGCAGCUCCGCCGCGUGAGCGAUGAAGGCUUUCGAGUCGUAAAUCUCUUUCAUAUGGGAAGAUAAUGACGUUACCAGAAGAGGAAGCCCCGGCUAACUACGUG